AGAGUUUGAUCCUGGCUCAGGAUGAACGCUAGCGGCAGGCUUAACACAUGCAAGUCGAGGGGUAUAGUAGCAAUACUAGAGACCGGCGCACGGGUGCGUAACGCGUAUGCAAUCUACCUUUUGCAGAGGGAUAGCCCAGAGAAAUUUGGAUUAAUACCUCAUAGUAUAGUACAAUCGCAUGAUUGAACUAUUAAAGUCACAACGGCAAAAUAUGAGCAUGCGUCCCAUUAGUUAGUUGGUAAGGUAACGGCUUACCAAGACUACGAUGGGUAGGGGUCCUGAGAGGGAGAUCCCCCACACUGGUACUGAGACACGGACCAGACUCCUACGGGAGGCAGCAGUGAGGAAUAUUGGACAAUGGGCGCAAGCCUGAUCCAGCCAUGCCGCGUGCAGGAUGACGGUCCUAUGGAUUGUAAACUGCUUUUGCACAGGAAGAAACAACUCUACGUGUAGAGUCUUGACGGUACUGUGAGAAUAAGGAUCGGCUAACUCCGUGCCAGCAGCCGCGGUAAUACGGAGGAUCCAAGCGUUAUCCGGAAUCAUUGGGUUUAAAGGGUCCGUAGGCGGUCUUAUAAGUCAGUGGUGAAAUCUCCCCGCUCAACGGGGAAACGGCCAUUGAUACUGUAAGACUUGAAUUAUUAGGAAGUAACUAGAAUAUGUAGUGUAGCGGUGAAAUGCUUAGAGAUUACAUGGAAUACCAAUUGCGAAGGCAGGUUACUACUAAUGGAUUGACGCUGAUGGACGAAAGCGUGGGUAGCGAACAGGAUUAGAUACCCUGGUAGUCCACGCCGUAAACGAUGGAUACUAGCUGUUGGGAGCAAUCUCAGUGGCUAAGCGAAAGUGAUAAGUAUCCCACCUGGGGAGUACGUUCGCAAGAAUGAAACUCAAAGGAAUUGACGGGGGCCCGCACAAGCGGUGGAGCAU
RNAcentral lists this ribosomal RNA (924 nucleotides) under uncultured bacterium. RNAcentral's name for it is "bacterial SSU rRNA". It matches the Rfam family "Bacterial small subunit ribosomal RNA", at positions 8 to 940 of the family's 1533-position model. The record is from RNAcentral.